Erythranthe guttata (spotted monkey flower) is the source of this 416-nucleotide non-coding RNA. NCBI's taxonomy places the organism in Eukaryota, Viridiplantae, Streptophyta, Magnoliopsida, Lamiales, Phrymaceae. The record is from RefSeq and is a predicted model, not a curated record.
UCUGACAUACAUGCAUUGGAUUUGAUGCAGGGCAAUAGGAAGUGACUGUGGCAUUGUAAAUGUGAAUAUUCCGACGAGUGGUGCUGAAAUAGGCGGUGCUUUUGGUGGCGAGAAAGCCACCGGAGGUGGCCGUGAAGCUGGUAGUGAUUCUUGGAAACAAUAUAUGAGGCGCUCAACUUGUACUAUCAACUAUGGGAGCGAACUGCCUCUGGCGCAAGGGAUUAACUUUGGGUAGUCGAAAAACCAGAAGAAUAAUCAAUUUGGUUAAUCUCGUUUAAUCAAAUUCGUUUGCUGGCGUAUAGUUUUUUCCUAAAGGUUUGUACUUUAUAACUAACCGUGGAAUUAUUUUCGAAUUUCGACUACAUUUGGACCAAUCUAUGACCAUUUAUUCGUUUUAAAGUUUCGGUUUUUAUUGC